GUAGCUGGUCUGAGAGGAUGGCCAGCCACACUGGAACUGAGACACGGUCCAGACUCCUACGGGAGGCAGCAGUGGGGAAUAUUGGACAAUGGGGGGAACCCUGAUCCAGCAAUGCCGCGUGUGUGAAGAAGGCCUGAGGGUUGUAAAGCACUUUCAGUGGGGAGGAGGGUUGAUAGGUUAAGAGCUAGUUAACUGGACGUUACCCACAGAAGAAGCACCGGCUAACUCCGUGCCAGCAGCCGCGGUAAUACGGAGGGUGCGAGCGUUAAUCGGAAUUACUGGGCGUAAAGGGUGCGUAGGUGGUUUGAUAAGUUAUCUGUAAAAGCCCAGGGCUCAACCUUGGAAGGCCAGAUAAUACUGUUGAACUGGAGUAUGG
Molecule: ribosomal RNA, 376 nt
Filed under: uncultured Legionella sp.
Lineage: Bacteria; Pseudomonadati; Pseudomonadota; Gammaproteobacteria; Legionellales; Legionellaceae
Description: bacterial SSU rRNA
Rfam family: Bacterial small subunit ribosomal RNA
Source: RNAcentral